Molecule: ribosomal RNA, 252 nt
Filed under: uncultured bacterium
Lineage: Bacteria
Description: partial 16S ribosomal RNA
Rfam family: Bacterial small subunit ribosomal RNA
Source: RNAcentral
UACGGAGGGUGCAAGCGUUAUCCGGAAUCACUGGGUUUAAAGGGUACGUAGGCGGUUUUGUAAGUCAGACGUUAAAUCCCACGGCUAAACUGUGGACUGCGUUUGAAACUGCAGAACUUGAAUAUGUUCGAGGUGCAUGGAAUGCUUCAUGUAGCGGUGAAAUGCAUAGAUAUGAAGUAGAACACCAAAAGCGAAGGCAGUGCACUAGGGCAGAAUUGACGCUGAGGUACGAAAGCUAGGGGAGCAAACAGG